Molecule: ribosomal RNA, 406 nt
Filed under: uncultured bacterium
Lineage: Bacteria
Description: partial 16S ribosomal RNA
Rfam family: Bacterial small subunit ribosomal RNA
Source: RNAcentral
AUUGAACGCUGGCGGCAGGCCUAACACAUGCAAGUCGAACGAGUGGCGGACGGGUGAGUAAUGUCUGGGAAACUGCCUGAUGGAGGGGGAUAACUACUGGAAACGGUAGCUAAUACCGCAUACCAUCGGAUGUGCCCAGAUGGGAUUAGCUAGUAGGUGGGGUAAAGGCUCACCUAGGCGACGAUCCCUAGCUGGUCUGAGAGGAUGACCAGCCACACGGGAAAUGGGACACGGGCCAUACUCCUACGGUAGGAGGCAGUGUGGAAUAUGGCACAAUGGGGGCAAGCCUGAUGCAGCCAUGCCGCGUGUAUGAAGAAGGCCUUCGGGUUGUAAAGUACUUUCAGCGGGGAGGCGUUACUCGCAGAAGAAGCACCGGCUAACUCCGUGCCAGCAGCCGCGGUAAUUC